UACGGAGGUGGCAAGCGUUGCUCGGAAUCAUUGGGCGUAAAGGGCGCGUAGGCGGGGAGGUAAGUCGGGUGUGAAAUCCCUUGGCCCAACCGAGGAACUGCGCCCGAGACUGCUUCUCUUGAGUCCCGGAGAGGAAGGUGGAAUUCCCGGUGUUAGCGGUGGAAAUGUGUAGAGAUCGGGAAGGAACACCGGUGGCGAAGGCGGCCUCUGGACGGUGACUGGACGCUGAGGCGCGAAAGCGUGGGGAGCAAACGGG
This 256-nucleotide ribosomal RNA is filed under the name uncultured bacterium. Its description in RNAcentral is "partial 16S ribosomal RNA". It matches the Rfam family "Bacterial small subunit ribosomal RNA", at positions 524 to 776 of the family's 1533-position model. The record is from RNAcentral.